This 449-nucleotide ribosomal RNA is filed under the name uncultured bacterium. Its description in RNAcentral is "partial 16S ribosomal RNA". It matches the Rfam family "Bacterial small subunit ribosomal RNA", at positions 29 to 523 of the family's 1533-position model. The record is from RNAcentral.
AAUGAACGCUGGCGGCAGGCCUAACACAUGCAAGUCGAACGGAUCCUUCGGGAUUAGUGGCGGACGGGUGAGUAACGCGUGGGAACAUACCCAAAGGUACGGAAUAGCCUCGGGAAACUGGGAGUAAUACCGUAUGUGCUCGAAAGAGGAAAGAUUUAUCGCCUUUGGAUUGGCCCGCGUUGGAUUAGGUAGUUGGUGGGGUAAUGGCCUACCAAGCCGACGAUCCAUAGCUGGUUUGAGAGGUUGAUCAGCCACACUGGGACUGAGACACGGCCCAGACUCCUGCGGGAGGCAGCAGUGGGGAAUCUUAGACAAUGGGGGAAACCCUGAUCUAGCCAUGCCGCGUGAUCGAUGAAGGCCUUAGGGUUGUAAAGAUCUUUCAGGUGGGAAGAUAAUGACUGUACCACCAGAAGAAGCCCCGGCUAACUCCGUGCCAGCCGCCGCGGUAA